UGCAGCAUAGUGUAGUGGCUUGCAUGUUGGACUAUGACUUUGGAGACCAGGGUUCAAAUCACUGCUCAGCCA
Molecule: non-coding RNA, 72 nt
Organism: Phrynosoma platyrhinos (Desert horned lizard)
Lineage: Eukaryota; Metazoa; Chordata; Lepidosauria; Squamata; Phrynosomatidae
Source: the annotation of a GenBank genome assembly